RNAcentral lists this ribosomal RNA (497 nucleotides) under uncultured bacterium. RNAcentral describes it as "partial 16S ribosomal RNA". It matches the Rfam family "Bacterial small subunit ribosomal RNA", at positions 28 to 507 of the family's 1533-position model. The record is from RNAcentral.
GACGAACGCUGGCGGCGUGCCUAAUACAUGCAAGUUGAGCGCUGAAGGUUGGUACUUGUACCGACUGGAUGAGCAGCGAACGGGUGAGUAACGCGUGGGGAAUCUGCCUUUGAGCGGGGGACAACAUUUGGAAACGAAUGCUAAUACCGCAUAAAAACUUUAAACACAAGUUUUAAGUUUGAAAGAUGCAAUUGCAUCACUCAAAGAUGAUCCCGCGUUGUAUUAGCUAGUUGGUGAGGUAAAGGCUCACCAAGGCGAUGAUACAUAGCCGACCUGAGAGGGUGAUCGGCCACAUUGGGACUGAGACACGGCCCAAACUCCUACGGGAGGCAGCAGUAGGGAAUCUUCGGCAAUGGACGAAAGUCUGACCGAGCAACGCCGCGUGAGUGAAGAAGGUUUUCGGAUCGUAAAGCUCUGUUGGUAGAGAAGAACGUUGGUGAGAGUGGAAAGCUCAUCAAGUGACGGUAACUACCCAGAAAGGGACGGCUAACUACAUG